UACGGGGGGAGCAAGCGUUGUUCGGAUUUACUGGGCGUAAAGGGCGCGUAGGCGGUCGUGACAAGUCACUUGUGAAAUCUCCGGGCUUAACUCGGAACGGUCAAGUGAUACUGUCGGACUAGAGUACAGAAGGGGCAACUGGAAUUCUCGGUGUAGCGGUGAAAUGCGUAGAUAUCGAGAGGAACACCUGCGGCGAAGGCGGGUUGCUGGGCUGAUACUGACGCUGAGGAGCGAAAGCGUGGGGAGCGAAACAGGAUUAGAACCUACCGUAGUCA
This 275-nucleotide ribosomal RNA is filed under the name uncultured bacterium. Its description in RNAcentral is "partial 16S ribosomal RNA". It matches the Rfam family "Bacterial small subunit ribosomal RNA", at positions 524 to 796 of the family's 1533-position model. The record is from RNAcentral.